Molecule: long non-coding RNA, 436 nt
Filed under: Ficedula albicollis (Collared flycatcher)
Lineage: Eukaryota; Metazoa; Chordata; Aves; Passeriformes; Muscicapidae
Description: lncRNA (ENSFALG00000028635.1)
Source: RNAcentral
AAGAUAACAGGCUUUAGACAAAGCAGUCUGUAAACAUGAACCUGUUUCACUUGUGAACAGAAAUACGUGUGAUAGCCUUGACAUCACGUACCAUAGCUUUCUGUGCCAGUCUGCAGGAUAAAAGGGCUUUAAUUGCUUUUGUUUUCAUACAGGUGUAUCAAAACAGUGUGACUUUUUUUUCUCUUUUAAUACUAACUGUAUUCCCUGUUGUCUGCCUCUCCCUUGCAGGCUUUGAAAGAGAUGCUAUAUGCGGCUGUGGACCAGGCCCCUUCUAUAGAAGGUUUGUUCAGACAUUGUAAAAAGCUUUGGGUUGUUCUGCUGGAGGCUCAGCACUUCGUAUUCCUCAGGUGCUAAGAGGUAAGGAUCUGAAAUCUGUUUUGGAGCCUUGGUGUCUUAUUUUAGUAUCCUGGCUUGGUCACCACCCCUGCUAUCCGAU